Long non-coding RNA from Oncorhynchus tshawytscha (Chinook salmon), 817 nucleotides. RefSeq lists it as uncharacterized. The record is from RefSeq and is a predicted model, not a curated record. NCBI's taxonomy places the organism in Eukaryota, Metazoa, Chordata, Actinopteri, Salmoniformes, Salmonidae. The transcript has 2 exons.
CCGUACGGGAGUUGCAGCGAUGGGACUAACUACCAAUUGGAAAUCAUGAAAUUGGGAGAAAAAGGGGUAAAAAGAACAACAUUUUUGUACCAAUUUAACUGCUCCCACUACAAAUACACAUGUAAUUUGGUGCUUAAAUGUUAUUGAAAUACUGCAGAAUUCCAUUCAUUUCUAUGGAGGACUGGGCCUACUGAGGAGCACCAAUAUGGAGGCCGGUGGCUUCAAAGCCUCAUUUAGCUACAUCGUAUUAACACAAGCUGGUGUUCAUAGACAUCAUUGGUUUCCAUUCAUAUGAAUCGCAAGCAAAGACGAGACAUUGGAAAUUGCCAGUUCAUAUCUGGUUACACAGCGCAUGGAUUUUACGCCAAGAUCGCUAACGAGUGAGAUAAAUGCGGAACAUCAGCAGGAGCCAGUUGUGCAGGAGAAGGGGGACCGAUGACUCCUCCCAGAAACCCUCACAUUGAUCUUCUGGCUGCUACUCUAUCAUAUGUGACCCCACUACAAGAUGAUCACCACGCCAGCGAGGUGAACUAUAAGGUCACAGUGGUGGAAAAAGUACUUAAUUGUCAUAGACACACCCUGCAGGAUCUGGUUUACUUCUUACAGAGGAGAAAUAAACAACCCAGAAUCCCCAGUAAAUGAAGAAAGAACAAAAUACUAAACUCGAGCAACUUUCCUCCAAGGAACUAUCAUCAAUAUGAAUGUCAUCACUGACACCCACUUUGUUUUCACAAUUCCAGAAUUUAUAUUGAGGACACACUGUGUUGUUGAACUUCUCUAUGUGUUUUCUAAGAUGAAUAAAAGUCUCUGUUUCAUA